AUGGCGGUGUCGUCUCCCGCUCCGGAGCCGAGGAGGGCCGGCGGUAGCAGCAGCAGCAAAUGGCGCCGCGGCAACAGAAAGGUGAUCAACGGCUGCUCGCGCUCCGCCCCUACCACGACGUCGCGGAGAUGCUCCGCGACUACAUCCCCAGCUGCGCCAGGUCCUGCGCCGGGGACGACACUGCCACCUCCUCCUCGUCGGCGUCCUGCUCCUCCGGCUCCGGCGACCUCGCCUGCGCAUAGAGAACGAGAGAGAAAAACAGUUAUGAUGGAGGAUGGCCAAUUCACCGCGUCGAUCCGCGUACGCGCCAAGUUCAUGGCGUUGGAGUUGUCGGCCACGGCCGCGUUCACGUGGCAGUCUCGAGCACCCCUUCAGUGUCGCUUCUUCGCUUGGCUAGAAGUCAAGAACCGCUGCUGGCCAUCUGAUUGA
This 429-nucleotide ribosomal RNA is filed under the name Triticum aestivum (bread wheat). RNAcentral describes it as "partial small subunit ribosomal RNA". Lineage: Eukaryota; Viridiplantae; Streptophyta; Magnoliopsida; Poales; Poaceae. The record is from RNAcentral.